Molecule: ribosomal RNA, 392 nt
Filed under: uncultured bacterium
Lineage: Bacteria
Description: partial 16S ribosomal RNA
Rfam family: Bacterial small subunit ribosomal RNA
Source: RNAcentral
AUACGGAGGAUCCGAGCGUUAUCCGGAUUUAUUGGGUUUAAAGGGCGCGCAGGCGGCCAUUUAAGUCAGCGGUUAAAUCGUGGGGCUCAACCCCAUUCUGCCGUUGAUACUGGGUGGCUUGAUUGCGGUCGAGGUUGGCGGAAUUCGUUGUGUAGCGGUGAAAUGCAUAGAUAUGACGAAGAACACCGAUUGCGUAGGCAGCUGACCAGACCGCAAAUGACGCUCAUGCACGAAAGUGCGGGGAUCGAACAGGAUUAGAUACCCUGGCAGUCCGCACAGUAAACGAUGAAUACUUGUUUUCGGCGAUAUAAUGUCGGAGGCAAAGCGAAAGCGAUAAGUAUUCCACCUGGGGAGUACGCCGGCAACGGUGAAACUCAAAGGAAUUGACGGGG